AGCAGCCGCGGUAAUUCCAGCUCCAAUAGCGUAUAUUAAAGUUGUUGCAGUUAAAAAGCUCGUAGUUGAAUUUCGGGGUCAGUAGGUUGGUCAUGCCACUGGUAUGUACUGGUCUCACUGAUUCCUCCUUCCUGAUGAACUGUAAUGCCAUUAAUUUGGUGUUGCAGGGAAUCUGGACUGUUACUUUGAAAAAAUUAGAGUGUUUAAAGCAGGCUAACGCCUGAAUACAUUAGCAUGGAAUAAUGAAAUAGGACGUUCGAUCCUAUUUUGUUGGUUUCUAGGAUUGACGUAAUGAUUAAUAGGGAUAGUUGGGGGCAUUAGUAUUCAAUUGUCAGAGGUGAAAUUCUUGGAUUUUAUUGAAAGACUAAACUACUGCGAAAGCAUUUUGCCAAGGAUGUUUUCAUUAAUCAAGAACGAAAAGUUAGGGGAAUCGAAAGACGAUCAGAUACCGUCGUAGUCUUAACCAUAAAACUAUGCCGACUAGGAAUCAGACGAUGUUAAAUUUUUUAAUUGACUC
RNAcentral lists this ribosomal RNA (517 nucleotides) under uncultured Glomus. Its description in RNAcentral is "SSU rRNA". It matches the Rfam family "Eukaryotic small subunit ribosomal RNA", at positions 569 to 1077 of the family's 1831-position model. Lineage: Eukaryota; Fungi; Glomeromycota; Glomeromycetes; Glomerales; Glomeraceae. The record is from RNAcentral.